Molecule: long non-coding RNA, 1067 nt
Organism: Neopelma chrysocephalum (saffron-crested tyrant-manakin)
Lineage: Eukaryota; Metazoa; Chordata; Aves; Passeriformes; Pipridae
Exons: 5
Source: RefSeq, a predicted model, not a curated record
GUCGCGGGGAGGGGGGGGAAGUGCCAACUUGGUUCAAGUAAAUUGUAUGGAAAAGAGAAUUUCAGCCUGAAGUAGCAGGAACAGUGAUUUUUUUUUUCCCUUCCAAGCUGUCCCCUUUAAGUGCUUCCAUGGUGCCAGCUGCUGAAUGACAAAUGAAGAGGUUGGGGGGAAGGAAAGGAAAUGGGCUGUAGGAUUUUUUUGGGGAAUUGUAGAGCUAAAAAUAAAAAAAAGGCGUUUUACCAUUUCCUGCAUAAAUGGGUGCUGUUACUUGCCUUCACCUUCUCGGGUUAUGCACCUGUAAUCCUUCAGGGAAGAAUUUAAGGCAAGCAAAAAAAAAAAGCAAACUGCACCCUCUAUUCUCAUUCUGAGUGACUUGGUCUUUUCUGGAAAGAUUAUUUUUGGGCUUCUGAUUUCCUUCUCGUUGACUUCUUUUUUUCCCCCCCCUCUGAACUUAGGAAGAAGUCUCUCCUGUAUUCUUUGUUAUCCCCAAAGCCCUCCCAGAGCUCUGGAUUAAUGUGGCAAUGCCAUCUGUUGCUCAGCCGGUUCGAGUUGUGUGCAGGAAAAGUUCCAUUUUGACAGUGGCUUUCGGGUGGGGGAAGGAAAAAAAAAAAGGGCAGAAAAAAAAAAAAAAAGCCGAGCGAGACAAGCCCAUUUCUGUCUCUUCCUGUAUGUCCUCAGCCCUGCAGUGAUUUGCUCAGAACGAAAUGCAAAAGAAAUGGGUGGCGAUUGUGGUGUGUGUUUUGGUGGCAGGGUUCAAAUGAAUCACUGCCUUCCGCCGAGGCAGUAAUGUUCCUGAAGUUUUCUCUCCGAUCCGUUUUCUAUGGUAGUAGAACUUGUUCCCAUCCGAUUGCUUGUUUGCUUUUCUGCUCGGAUUUGCUGCCUUUUUUUUUUUUCUUUUUUUUUUUUUAAUCGUUGUUUUUCCCAGGCUGCUAAUUGCUUUCGUUACCCUCUGCGAAGAGACUCUAAAAUUGUGGAGCUGGAGGAGGAAAUGACAUUCAGUGGUGUUUUUCUCAGGUGAAAGGCGCUGUAGAUGAUGAUGUAGCAGAAGCGGAUAUAAUUUCUAAUAU